GCUUCUUUAGCUCAGUUGGUACGAGCGUCCGACUGAAGAAUUCAGUUGCCACUGUUGCAGUGGGUGUAGCGGGCUGUUGUCUGCGCGCCAAUCGGGAGGUCACCUGUUCGACCCAGGUAAGGAGCA
RNAcentral lists this transfer RNA (126 nucleotides) under Sporisorium reilianum f. sp. reilianum. RNAcentral's name for it is "transfer RNA-Phe(GAA)". Lineage: Eukaryota; Fungi; Basidiomycota; Ustilaginomycetes; Ustilaginales; Ustilaginaceae. The record is from RNAcentral.